AGAAAACGUAAAUUCAUCACUUCAAAAUGAUUAUUCUAUCAGCAUGGGAGUGCUCGAAUUGCAUAUGGGCACACGAGGCAUUAUCGAGUUAAAAUCCGUCUGGAUAUUGCCAAAUAUUUACAACGCUUCUCUGAAUCUAUACAGCAAUUUACUGAAUAUUUCGUAGUAAGAUAAAAAUCCAGGGUUCACAUUAUGAGGUUUAUAUACAAAUAUAACAUUUGCAAAGCGUUGCUCCAAGACUCGACUCGAGAAAUAACGAUCAACUCUAUAGAUAAUAGGAAAAUAAAAUUAGUGUAUAGUGAGUAUUACACGAUAAUCACGACAUAUUAAUUUCUUCAACAUCUAACCAGUCUGGAGAGUCUUUAUCAGAAUUGUAAUUUUUUUUUCUGAAAUUAGCAGGCAUAUCUCCAUCAUCUUCUUCAAGAUCACUAAAUGACACGUCAUCCUCGUUCUCAACUGGGAUGUUGGUUCCACCGGAUCCUUGUUUUGGGGGGGGUGGGGGGGGGGGUGUUGUAAUCAAACCUUAUUGAAUCAAAUAUAACAGAAACCACCCCCAACUACUAUCAGUGAUUUACACGCAAAUCCAAGCUUCCAGGGACAAAUAUUUUAUGACUUGCCCACUAAGAGAAUUAAGCCACAUCAAAAAUAAAUAAUUAUUAAAUGAAUCAAGAAGAAAAGGGAAAUGGGAAGAAUAUAACAAACAGAAGAUGCGUAAAUGGCAUGCAAGGGAAUGAUAUGGAGGGAAAAAAAUGUCAUCAAAGGCCUAGCACUUUAAUACAUAUCCUUUUAGAAAGACUAGAGAUCAAUGACUAAAGUUUGUUCUGACAGAAAUGCUGUUACUUAAAAUAUUGUUCUUGGUGCUCAUUUUCAGUUGGGUUCGGUGGUGGUUUUUUCUUUCUUUCUUUUUUCUUUUUUUGUUGGGGGGGGGGGGGGGGGGUUUUAAGGAUACGGGCUACUCGACCGUUACCGUGAGGAGUCGAGAUCGACCCAAGUUAUUGUUCGACACUGUUUGUACUCUGACCGACAUGCAAUACGUAGUAUUCCAUGCAGCCAUUAGCUCCAAGGAAUCUAUAGCUGUUCAGGUAAAAGCACAAUAUAGUUUAUAUCUUUGCACAGAUUCUGUGAGUGCGUUCUUUGUUUCUAAUCUUUUAACUUCUGAAAAUCCCAGGAAUACUACAUAAAGCACAAAAGUGGACGCCCUUUGGAUUCAGAAGAUGAGAAGCAGUUGGUUACCCAGUGUUUGAUAGCAGCUACGGAAAGGAGAAUUUCUCAUGUACGUUACAGAAACUAACGUUUUUCUCCCACUUGUUUACAAAGAAAAAUUUAAUAAUCGUAAUUGUACAUAAUUGUGCAGGGGUUAAGACUAGAUAUUUGCACAGAAAAUAGGAUAGGACUAUUAUCUGAUAUCACACGAGUAGUACGAGAAAAUGGAUUAUCUAUAACAAGGGCUGAGAUCGGUACUCGGGGUGAGAGAGCAGUUGGCACAUUCUAUGUAAAAGAUACUUCGGGAGAAAAUGCUGAUCCAGAAACACUUGAAAAGGUGAGACGAGAAAUCGGAAGUGCUGUUGUAGUGGUAAACAAAUCUUCGAGCUCCCCUUUGCGAGCAACAUCCAGAACAUGUAAAAGCAACAGCAGCGAAGUACAAGAAAGGUCGAGGUUUUCCCUGGGAAGCCUGUUGUGGUCGCACCUAGAGGGAAUUUUGAGCAAUUUCAGACCCAUAAAAUCCUGAAGUUUUAUAGAUGGAAUAAGGGCUGCAUUUACCUGUAAAUACCGAUUAGCACAUGUGAACUAGUUUCUCAUUCAUCUGUAAAUAAUAAGAGCCAGCAGCAGCCCCUACAGGAAAUGAGAGUUUAAAUAAAACAAUAAAACAAUGCAUGUGUCUAUCUGCUUUGUUUUCCCUUCAAGAAAAAGCAGUACCAGAGUCCCAAAAAUUCUCUUUUUUGGGCAAAGAUUUAUUCUUUGCAUUUGCAGAAGUUCGUGACAAAGUAUUUUGCAAAACAAUAGUCCAAGAAAACGUAAAUUCAUCACUUCAAAAUGAUUAUUCUAUCAGCAUGGGAGUGCUCGAAUUGCAUAUGGGCACACGAGGCAUUAUCGAGUUAAAAUCCGUCUGGAUAUUGCCAAAUAUUUACAACGCUUCUCUGAAUCUAUACAGCAAUUUACUGAAUAUUUCGUAGUAAGAUAAAAAUCCAGGGUUCACAUUAUGAGGUUUAUAUACAAAUAUAACAUUUGCAAAGCGUUGCUCCAAGACUCGACUCGAGAAAUAACGAUCAACUCUAUAGAUAAUAGGAAAAUAAAAUUAGUGUAUAGUGAGUAUUACACGAUAAUCACGACAUAUUAAUUUCUUCAACAUCUAACCAGUCUGGAGAGUCUUUAUCAGAAUUGUAAUUUUUUUUUCUGAAAUUAGCAGGCAUAUCUCCAUCAUCUUCUUCAAGAUCACUAAAUGACACGUCAUCCUCGUUCUCAACUGGGAUGUUGGUUCCACCGGCACCACCAGUUUCAGAACUUUCUUCUUUCAACCAGUCAUCACUAUCAUCCUCAUCCUUCAUUUCCAAAACAUUAGAGGGAUCAGAGUUCAACUUUUGAUCCUUGACUUGGUCAACCACCUCUUCUUCAAUCAUCGCUUUGUCAAUAAUUGGGAUUUCAGUGUUCUCGACUGCGUGCUUCACUAUUUCAGAAGCAGCUGUAGCAGUGGAAGUGCUUAAUUCAAGGGCAGAUGAUUUUUCAGGCUCAUUUUCAGAAGGAAUAGUAGAUGAUGCAUAAAGGGAGUCUUCAUGAGAAGAUGCGGUGGCAUCUUUUGGAUCGGAAGAUACUUUUCCAGGGAAGUCUUCUAGCGUUGUUGGUGUCUGGUUCUUUGACUCCUGUGCAAGCAAGGCUCUGGCUUUUAUUAUCUGCUUGUCAUGACAGUAAUGGAGGUCAACAACCUUGUCACUCAAGGAGAAAGAAAAAACCGCACAAGUUUUAGCAGCAAGUUCAUUGACAAGCCAUUUAUCCUUGUUUUGGGGGGGGGGGGGGGGGGGGGGGGAACANNNNNNNNNNNNNNNNNNNNNNNNNNNNNNNUGUUUUUUUUUUUUUCUUUUUUUUUUUUUUUUUGGUGGGGGGGGGGGGGUUGAGUUAAUACAAAAUUAAGCUAAAAUUGGUCCACUUAUGCACUAAAUAAUCGUGAAGUCAAGAAACUAUAGAAAUUAUUCAGAUAGAUGUAUUUUUUAAUUGAGGUUCAGAAAUGCACUAGAUUAUCAUAGACAAAGCAGAAGGAAUGACGAUAAAGUGAGCUCUGUGCUCUAUUCAUAUGUAUAAACUAUAGAAAUUAUUCAGAUAGAUGUAUUUUUUAAUUGAGGUUCAGAAAUGCACUAGAUUAUCAUAGACAAAGCAGAAGGAAUGACGAUAAAGUGAGCUCUGUGCUCUAUUCAUAUGUAUCUACUUUUCUAGCGAUACUAAAAUGACAAUGUAACAUACCAAAUUCACUUAUAGAAAAGCACAAUACUUGUGAUCAAAGACAAUUAACUCAGACAAAAAUGUUUACCAACUGUAAUCUAAUAAAAUGACAAAUAUUAGAAGCAAUGCACGCCAUAGUCCUUUUCUAACCAGCUCCAACAUAAAUUAACUUUUAAUUGAAUACGCAAUAUGCAAGAAGAAGAAGAGACCUGAGAUGUUGAUAAUAUUUCAGCAUCCUCUUUAUCCAGUCGAGGGUGCAGGAGUACAAAAUAGAUCUUCCAGAAGCAACUUUCACUCAUGUAUCCUGGGCAAAGCUCAAACCUCAAAGCAGAUAAUCUUGGGGCAAGAUGCUCAACAGCUAAGGCGUGUUCUUGUUGGGCAUCAGACAUGUCAAAAUCUAAUAUCAAGAAAAAAAGGAAAAAACAAAUCAACAUUCUGUCAUAUUGAAUUCCCAUUUCCUGAAUUAAUAAUAAUUUUCUUCCAUAUCGUCAUUCAAAAUACUUUUGGAGUUGACAAAAGUCUUGAGCAUUGAAGUAUGCUAACGACAGGUUCUCUCUACCAAAAGAUGCAUAACUGGCUCUUUUGAGCAAUUUGCAUUCCAUGACUAGCUAAGUAUAUGAGAGAUUCUUAGGUUAACAACAUAAUACUUCGAUAAAUAUUUAAUAACAGAUAGAAUAAAAUAACAAAAUGAAUGAAAGAGUAAGGGGGCAUAGCACUAUACCAAAGAAGUGGAACUAAACCAUGAAUCCAUGGUCUUACUACACAAUUAUACAAGUCUUUUCAUCUCCAAUAAAUCAUAGAAGUUUCUUACUAUGUCCAUUUAUUCAAAUAUAUUCCACUUUACAUUUAUUGAUUUCCUAGUACAAUGUCUAAGAAAAUCUGCCUUAAAUUCAUUAAGCAUUUAUUUGAAAGAUGAUGCCAUCAUUGAAAGAUCAUCAAUUUGCUCCGCAAUAAAAUUAAUCCAAUUAAUCAGCACACUGUCAACUAGUAGAUAAACACUCCUUAGUUACUAAUCUGCACUUCACUAACCCCCUGAAAUUUCUAUAUAUAUACAAUUAUCAUACCAUCAUCAUCACUGUCACUUUCGGGCAAUGGGAAAUCCAACCAAGUUUUGGGAUGCAUCGCAAUAUCCCUCGCGAAAGCCACCACUUCCUCAGUCACACCAACUACCUUUUUACUCGCCGAAUCAAAAUCCUCUGUAUUGCCUGUCCAAGAUAAAAUUUAAAUGAAUAUAUGUGCAUUUCUCUAACACCUUGUGCUUGUAGAUGAAAUGAUUUGCAUUGAAUACCUUCCUUACCGAUUUCAUCAUCAGAUUCCAACUGUAGGAAAUUCGAGGCCAUUUUGGUAAUUUCCGUCACGUUGAUGUUAUUCGACAGCUUCGAAAUUCCGCUCCUGAACCUUCCCCCGAUCUCAGCUAAGUCAGUACGGAUGCCCGAUUCACCAUCCGGGUCGGGCUCCUGAUUCUGUUCCGAGUUGUUCGGAUCGAGCUGUGGCGGUGGGGCUAGAAAUGAGGCUACACCCCAGAACUGGUUCUUGAGGGUUUUGGUCAGUUCCGAGAGGUCUUCUUUGACGCCGCGCGACGGCGAGGUUGGAGAUGAAACAUCGUUGUCUUGGAGGAGGUUUUCCUGUUCGGGUUUGAUGCCCUUGAUGGCGUCAUCUUCCUCAUCGUCGAAUUUGAGCGUAUUAUUGAUUGAUCGGGCAAACCAAGACAUUGUAACUUGGAUCGAGUUCGGUUUCGGAUCGCCGGCGAUCCACUGUGCGGACUGGGGACGGAUCUCCUUGAACCUGUAUGGUGAACAUCAACACUGGAAAAGCAUUAAGGGAUCAGGAGACUCGUUAAACGACACAGUUUAGAAUAUGCUGUCAAAUGUGUAUUUCUCACUUCACCCCUCUAAUUUUCAAUUGUGUCAUACAAACCCUUAUAUUAUUCUUUUGUCGCAAAUGGGUCGGGGUGAGAGAGCAGUUGGCACAUUCUAUGUAAAAGAUACUUCGGGAGAAAAUGCUGAUCCAGAAACACUUGAAAAGGUGAGACGAGAAAUCGGAAGUGCUGUUGUAGUGGUAAACAAAUCUUCGAGCUCCCCUUCGCGAGCAACAUCCAGAACAUGUAAAAGCAACAGCAGCGAAGUACAAGAAAGGUCGAGGUUUUCCCUGGGAAGCCUGUUGUGGUCGCACCUAGAGGGAAUUUUGAGCAAUUUCAGACCCAUAAAAUCCUAAAGUUGUUAUAUAUGGAAUAAGGGCUGCAUUUACCUGUAAAUACCAAUUAGCACGUGUGAAUUAGUUUCUCAUUCAUCUGUAAAUAAUAAGAGCCAGCAGCAGCCCCUACAGGAAAUGAGAGUUUAAAUAAAACAAUAAAACAAUGCAUGUGUCUAUCUGCUUUGUUUUCCCUUCAAGAAAAAGCAGUACCAGAGUCCCAAAAAUUCUCUUUUUUGGGCAAAGAUUUAUUCUUUGCAUUUGCAGAAGUUCGUGACAAAGUAUUUUGCAAAACAAUAGUCCAAGAAAACGUAAAUUCAUCACUUCAAAAUGAUUAUUCUAUCAGCAUGGGAGUGCUCGAAUUGCAUAUGGGCACACGAGGCAUUAUCGAGUUAAAAUCCGUCUGGAUAUUGCCAAAUAUUUACAACGCUUCUCUGAAUCUAUACAGCAAUUUACUGAAUAUUUCGUAGUAAGAUAAAAAUCCAGGGUUCACAUUAUGAGGUUUAUAUACAAAUAUAACAUUUGCAAAGCGUUGCUCCAAGACUCGACUCGAGAAAUAACGAUCAACUCUAUAGAUAAUAGGAAAAUAAAAUUAGUGUAUAGUGAGUAUUACACGAUAAUCACGACAUAUUAAUUUCUUCAACAUCUAA
RNAcentral lists this long non-coding RNA (6272 nucleotides) under Olea europaea (common olive). RNAcentral describes it as "long non-coding RNA (OEUR_LNC000574)". The record is from RNAcentral. Lineage: Eukaryota; Viridiplantae; Streptophyta; Magnoliopsida; Lamiales; Oleaceae.